Non-coding RNA from Pelobates cultripes (western spadefoot toad), 649 nucleotides. NCBI's taxonomy places the organism in Eukaryota, Metazoa, Chordata, Amphibia, Anura, Pelobatidae. The record is from the annotation of a GenBank genome assembly.
AUUAUUGUUAAAGUGUCCGAAAUUAAAACAGUGACAUCAAUUAGACAAGCUUGCUGAGGUUUUUUCUAAGCUAAAAUGGGUCAGGAUUUCCAACACAACGGCAAUUCAAUUAGACUAAUUAAUUUGCAAUUACAGCAAGAGACGAAAUGAUAUUUCAUAAAUAUUUCAAUUAAAUCAUCACAUUACAAAUAUGUAGAAAGCUGACAAAUUAUUAGAGCACACAAAAUUAAUGUAGAUCGUAUUAACUGUACUUGCUGAAUAAUAGGAUCGAUUUAAAUGAGAUCUGAUGUGCAGAGCAAUGCAUGGCCAGUGGUUUAAUUAAUUAAAAUCACUUACCUUGCUGUCUGCUAUGUCAGUUCACUGAGACAGAUACAGUGCUUAUAAAUUCAUUAUAUGUCAGACCCUCUAGAUAGACACACUGAAGACGAUGCACUGGUAAAAUAAUAUGAGUCCCACACUGGGGACAAAUCUAAAUAAUUAUCAAGGACUCACAUUGAAAUCAGGAUGUCUGAUUGGUCACAAUUAUUGUAUCUUGUGAUUGGAUAGAUUAGUGAUAGAUUGAUAGGUGAUACAGAACUGUUACUGAUUUUAAAAGUGUGUGAAAUCAAUACAUCACCAAUACAGACAUUACAUAUAUACACACAUAAAU